UUCCGGUUGAUCCCGCCGGAGGCGACCGCUUUGGGAGUUCGAUUAAGCCAUGCGAGUCGUGAGUCUUAGGGACUCGGCAUACUGCUCAGUAACACGUGGAUAACCUGCCCUAUCGUCUGGAAUAACCUCGGGAAACUGAGAAUAAGGCCGGAUAGUUCACAAUGCCUGGAACGGUUUGUGAAUCAAGGUAGGAUGGGUCUGCGGCGUAUCAGGUUGUAGGGGGUGUAAAGGACCCCCUAGCCUUCGACGCGUACGGGUGUUGGGAGACAUAGCCCGGAGAUGGAUUCUGAGACACGAAUCCAGACCCUACGGGGUGCAGCAGGCGCGAAAACUUCACACUGCAGGAAACUGUGAUGAGGGAACUCCUAGUGCAUGCACUAUGUGUAUGUAGAUCCUACUCUUAACAAGUAGAGGGAAAGGGCUGGGAAAGACCGGUGCCAGCCGCCGCGGUAAUACCGGCAGCUCAAGUGGUCGUCGCUUUUAUUGGGCCUAAAACGUCCGUAGCCUGUUUGGUAAAUCUGUGGGUAAAUCAAUCCGCUCAACGGAUUGAAUUCUGCAGAGACUGCCAGACUAGGGACCGGGAGAGGUGUGGGGUACUCGAGGGGUAGGGGUAAAAUCCUGUCAUCCUUCGAGGACCACCAGUUGCGAAGGCGCCACACUGGAACGGAUCCGACGGUCAGGGACGAAGCCUAGGGGCACGAACCGGAUUAGAUACCCGGGUAGUCCUAGGUGUAAACGCUGUGAACUUGGUGUCGGGGGUCCGCAAGGGGUCCCCGGUGCCGGAGUGAAGAUGUUAAGUUCACUGCCUGGGGAGUACGGUCGCAAGGCUGAAACUUAAAGGAAUUGGCGGGGCAGCAC
RNAcentral lists this ribosomal RNA (858 nucleotides) under uncultured euryarchaeote. RNAcentral describes it as "bacterial SSU rRNA". It matches the Rfam family "Archaeal small subunit ribosomal RNA", at positions 1 to 879 of the family's 1478-position model. The record is from RNAcentral. Lineage: Archaea; Methanobacteriati; Methanobacteriota.